RNAcentral lists this transfer RNA (66 nucleotides) under Nevromus exterior. RNAcentral describes it as "tRNA-Trp". It matches the Rfam family "tRNA". From Rfam's summary of the family: Transfer RNA (tRNA) molecules are approximately 80 nucleotides in length. Their secondary structure includes four short double-helical elements and three loops (D, anti-codon, and T loops). The record is from RNAcentral. Lineage: Eukaryota; Metazoa; Arthropoda; Insecta; Megaloptera; Corydalidae.
AAGGUUUUAAGUUAAAUAAACUAUUAGCCUUCAAAGCUGAAAAUAAAUAAAUUAGUUUAAGCCUUA